This 253-nucleotide ribosomal RNA is filed under the name uncultured bacterium. RNAcentral's name for it is "partial 16S ribosomal RNA". It matches the Rfam family "Bacterial small subunit ribosomal RNA", at positions 524 to 776 of the family's 1533-position model. The record is from RNAcentral.
UACGAAGGGGGCUAGCGUUGCUCGGAAUUACUGGGCGUAAAGGGCGCGUAGGCGGCACUGUUAGUCAGGCGUGAAAGUCCUGGGCUCAACCUGGGAACUGCGCUUGAUACGGCAGAGCUAGAGGAUGGAAGAGGCUCGCGGAAUUCCCAGUGUAGAGGUGAAAUUCGUAGAUAUUGGGAAGAACACCGGUGGCGAAGGCGGCGAGCUGGUCCAUUACUGACGCUGAGGCGCGACAGCAUGGGGAGCAAAAGGG